This 253-nucleotide ribosomal RNA is filed under the name uncultured bacterium. RNAcentral describes it as "partial 16S ribosomal RNA". It matches the Rfam family "Bacterial small subunit ribosomal RNA", at positions 524 to 776 of the family's 1533-position model. The record is from RNAcentral.
UACGUAGGGGGCAAGCGUUGUUCGGAAUUACUGGGCGUAAAGCGCGCGUAGGCGGCUUUGUAAGUUAGAGGUGAAAGCCCGGGGCUCAACCCCGGAACUGCCUUUAAGACUGCAUCGCUUGAAUCCAGGAGAGGUGAGUGGAAUUCCGAGUGUAGAGGUGAAAUUCGUAGAUAUUCGGAAGAACACCAGUGGCGAAGGCGGCUCACUGGACUGGUAUUGACGCUGAUGUGCGAAAGCGUGGGGAGCAAACAGG